UACGUAGGGUGCGAGCGUUGUCCGGAGUUACUGGGCGUAAAGAGCUCGUAGGCGGUUUGUCGCGUCGGCCGUGAAAUUCUGCUGCUUAACGGCGGACUUGCGGUCGAUACGGGCAAACUUGAGUUCGGUAGGGGAGACUGGAAUUCCUGGUGUAGCGGUGAGAUGCGCAGAUAUCAGGAGGAACACCGGUGGCGAAGGCGGGUCUCUGGGCCGAUACUGACGCUGAGGAGCGAGAGCGUGGGGAGCGAACAGG
Molecule: ribosomal RNA, 253 nt
Filed under: uncultured bacterium
Lineage: Bacteria
Description: partial 16S ribosomal RNA
Rfam family: Bacterial small subunit ribosomal RNA
Source: RNAcentral